AGAACGAACGCUGGCGGCAUGCCUAAUACAUGCAAGUCGAACGAACUCUUCGGAGUUAGUGGCGCACGGGUGCGUAACGCGUGGGAAUCUGCCCCUUGGUUCGGAAUAACAGUUGGAAACGACUGCUAAUACCGGAUGAUGACGAAAGUCCAAAGAUUUAUCGCCAAGGGAUGAGCCCGCGUAGGAUUAGCUAGUUGGUGAGGUAAAGGCUCACCAAGGCAACGAUCCUUAGCUGGUCUGAGAGGAUGAUCAGCCACACUGGGACUGAGACACGGCCCAGACUCCUACGGGAGGCAGCAGGUAGGGAAUAUUGGACAA
This 318-nucleotide ribosomal RNA is filed under the name uncultured soil bacterium. RNAcentral describes it as "bacterial SSU rRNA". It matches the Rfam family "Bacterial small subunit ribosomal RNA", at positions 26 to 371 of the family's 1533-position model. The record is from RNAcentral.